This 806-nucleotide ribosomal RNA is filed under the name uncultured Pelagibacteraceae bacterium. RNAcentral's name for it is "bacterial SSU rRNA". It matches the Rfam family "Bacterial small subunit ribosomal RNA", at positions 33 to 887 of the family's 1533-position model. The record is from RNAcentral. Lineage: Bacteria; Pseudomonadati; Pseudomonadota; Alphaproteobacteria; Candidatus Pelagibacterales; Candidatus Pelagibacteraceae.
ACGCUGGCGGCACGCCUAAUACAUGCAAGUCGAACGAAGUAGCAAUACUUAGUGGCAGACGGGUGAGUAACAUGUGGGUAUCUUCCCUUUGGUGAGGAAUAACACGAGGAAACUUGUGCUAAUACCUCAUAAGUCUUUACGGAGAAAGCUUUAUGCGCCAAUGGAUGAGCCCGCACUUGAUUAGUUUGUUGGUGAGGUAAUGGCUCACCAAGACUUUGAUCAAUAGCUGAUUUGAGAGGAUGAUCAGCCACAUUGGGACUGAGACACGGCCCAAACUCCUACGGGAGGCAGCAGUAGGGAAUCUUGCACAAUGGGGGAAACCCUGAUGCAGCGAUGCCGCGUGAGUGAAGAAGGCCUUUGGGUUGUAAAGCUCUUUCGUCGGGGAAGAAAAUGACUGUACCCGAAUAAGAAGGUCCGGCUAACUUCGUGCCAGCAGCCGCGGUAAUACGAAGGGACCUAGCGUAGUUCGGAAUUACUGGGCUUAAAGAGUUCGUAGGUUGUUAAAAAAGUUGGUGGUGAAAUCCCAGAGCUUAACUCUGGAACUGCCAUCAAAACUUUUUAGCUAGAGUUUGAUAGAGGAAAGCAGAAUUUCUAGUGUAGAGGUGAAAUUCGUAGAUAUUAGAAAGAAUACCAAUUGCGAAGGCAGCUUUCUGGAUCAUUACUGACACUGAGGAACGAAAGCAUGGGUAGCGAAGAGGAUUAGAUACCCUCGUAGUCCAUGCCGUAAACGAUGUGUGUUAGACGUUGGAAAUUUAUUUUCAGUGUCGCAGCGAAAGCAAUAAACACACCGCCUGGGGAGUACGACC